UGGGGAAUAUUGCACAAUGGGCGCAAGCCUGAUGCAGCCAUGCCGCGUGUGUGAAGAAGGCCUUCGGGUUGUAAAGCACUUUCAGCGGGGAGGAAGGCGUUAAGGUUAAUAACCUUGGCGAUUGACGUUACCCGCAGAAGAAGCACCGGCUAACUCCGUGCCAGCAGCCGCGGUAAUACGGAGGGUGCAAGCGUUAAUCGGAAUUACUGGGCGUAAAGCGCACGCAGGCGGUCUGUCAAGUCGGAUGUGAAAUCCCCGGGCUUAACCUGGGAACUGCAUUCGAAACUGGCAGGCUAGAGUCUUGUAGAGGGGGGUAGAAUUCCAGGUGUGGCGGUGAAAUGCGUAGAGAUCUGGAGGAAUACCGGUGGCGAAGGCGGCCCCCUGGACAAAGACUGACGCUCAGGUGCGAAAGCGUGGGGAGCAAACAGG
RNAcentral lists this ribosomal RNA (429 nucleotides) under Chloroflexota bacterium. RNAcentral describes it as "Chloroflexi bacterium partial 16S ribosomal RNA". It matches the Rfam family "Bacterial small subunit ribosomal RNA", at positions 355 to 776 of the family's 1533-position model. The record is from RNAcentral. Lineage: Bacteria; Bacillati; Chloroflexota.